This 1137-nucleotide long non-coding RNA is filed under the name Calidris pugnax (ruff). RNAcentral's name for it is "lncRNA (ENSCPUG00000011288.1)". The record is from RNAcentral. Lineage: Eukaryota; Metazoa; Chordata; Aves; Charadriiformes; Scolopacidae.
AAAAUCUCCUUGUCCAGGCUUUGCGGGGUGGAGGAUUCAGCUCAGAGACUGCUUACCAAGCCCAAAUGCCCUGAAACCAUGAUAUUGACUUACAAAAUCAUGAGAAUUAGAAAGUAAUAUAGCUGGUGUUAUUUUUUUUUUUCCUUCUAGGAUUUAAGUCUUCAGAGUGCACAUGCUCAGGCUUUAUUCUAAGCUUUUCAGGGAAGCAAAGAAGACAUGAGAUACCCCCUGUAAUCAUCUGCCUCUGGGAGCUGAUACCAGGUAUCAGAAGAGGUGGUGAAAUCACGGUGUUCAGAGCUGCCUUAUCCAGCUGUGUGUUGCUGGCUAGCCAGCUCCAGCUUGCAGUGUCUAUGAUGGUGUUUCUUGUCUGGUUUCUGCACGGUUGGGAUGAAGAUGAGCCUGAGCAUCGGGCUUGGGAUGUCUGAAAAUCUGAUUCAGUUCCGGGUCUGCCCUCAGCAGUUCCUCCAUGGAUUAGGUGAGACAUUUUGCUUUUCAGUGUUUUUAACCUGGUCCUGAGGAUACUGGACUUUGCCUUUAUGUGAGCCGUGAGCCUGCCCUUGUCCACCACUAUUGCUGCGGGAGCUGCCAGUCCUGGGAGUGGCAUAAAACAUAUAUAGCUUUUUAUGGAAGAAAUCAGAAGUGGCUCUUUCAUAUUUGUAGGUGUCACACACCAACUGGCUUAUAAAUGUAACUUUAAUGCCUAAAAAGUUGAUAAUCACCUUUAUACUUGCAUACUAGCAUCGUUUUAAAGUGAAUUACCGACAUCAUAUAUUGCCUUAUUCCCCCACAGUAAAUGUUCUCUCCCUGCUGUAUUUUAUUACUUACUGUAAAUUCAUUCAAGCAGUAUAUUUUGCUUUCAGCAAGGUAUCCUCAGUUACUUUUUCUGUCCAGGAUAAAUUGAGAUGAAUUUUGCCCGUGCCUGGGUUUUGCUCGUGGCAUCCAUCUUUGCCCAUGAAAAGUUACAGCUGGAGUUGAAGAGGACCUGAGAAAUGAUAAUAUCAUACUGCAGAAAGUUACAGAUCACCAGUCUGCAGUCAAGCUGUACACAGAGGGCUCAUUGAAGCAGCCAGGAGUUUAAUAGUAAGUGAAAAACAUAAAGAAAUGCGAUGUAGUCUCUAAUGUUUAUCCUGAUAAAGU